This 371-nucleotide ribosomal RNA is filed under the name uncultured organism. Its description in RNAcentral is "bacterial SSU rRNA". It matches the Rfam family "Bacterial small subunit ribosomal RNA", at positions 526 to 896 of the family's 1533-position model. The record is from RNAcentral.
CGUAGGGUGCGAGCGUUAAUCGGAAUUACUGGGCGUAAAGCGUGCGCAGGCGGUUUGUAAGACAGGCGUGAAAUCCCCGGGCUCAACCUGGGAACUGCGCUUGUGACUGCAAGGCUAGAGUACGGCAGAGGGGGGUGGAAUUCCACGUGUAGCAGUGAAAUGCGUAGAGAUGUGGAGGAACACCAAUGGCGAAGGCAGCCCCCUGGGUCGAUACUGACGCUCAUGCACGAAAGCGUGGGUAGCGAACAGGAUUAGAUACCCUGGUAGUCCACGCCCUAAACGAUGUCAACUAGGUGUUGGGCGGGUAAAACCAUUUAGUACCGGAGCUAACGCGUGAAGUUGACCGCCUGGGGAGUACGGCCGCAAGGUUA